RNAcentral lists this unclassified non-coding RNA (4876 nucleotides) under Hevea brasiliensis (rubber tree). Lineage: Eukaryota; Viridiplantae; Streptophyta; Magnoliopsida; Malpighiales; Euphorbiaceae. The record is from RNAcentral.
CAGAUAUGGGCAUAGCUUGUUCAUUGAAGUAACUGACUUUUCGCAGACGGCCCAUAGUUCCCGUAUCCCACCUUGCUUCAGGCUUCAGGGAAUCUUUACGUCUCAAAUUAUCACAACCCUAAGACUAGUCAAUCAGAAGAUUUUACAACAAACGUUAAUGCAAAUAAUCUGAACUGCUUUCACUCACUGCAAACAUUUCUCGAUGAUCAACUGCCUGCAGCCGCAAUUGGGUCCAGAAAAUUGUAUUCAGCUUAUUACAUCCAACAAUAUAAAAGAUCAAUGAAAGUCAGAACUCAAGGCACCUUCUCGAGCCAUCUUUUUUUUUUUAAUUAACUGAGCCAGCUACAAAUGCUGAUUUCCGAAAUUCUAAAUCUUAGCUCAUUGGUUGAUCACAUCCUGUAUUACAAAUUCAAUGGCUUACACAUGCUUAGACUUUUAUGUCCAGCACAAAAUGUUACAUAGAAAAACAUUGCUUUUGCUAUGUGUAUUUCUUUUGAGGUAUAAGAAGAGACCCUCUACACCCAUCAAAUUGAUUGCAAGUUGGAAAGGGAAAGGCACCUUCAUAUAUAGCUAUUCUACUCAUUAUCUCGAGUUGAGUUUUUCUUCUGCCUCCUUCGCUGAUCUCUUGAUCUUUUCUUCUCCUCUUUUCUUUUCCUCCUCAAAUUCUCCAUACUUUUUUGUUUUUCUGCCAUCUCCUUCACAUACACGCGCACCUCAUGACCAGCACUUCGGAGUGCCUGAAGUGGCUCCACACAAUCUUGACCAAUAACCACCAAUUUCCUUUUUUCGUUACCUCCCAAAUCAUUGCCCAUAUUUUGCCUAGCUAAUUCUUCCAACUGGUUUUGCAGGAGAGGUGAAACACCAGCCUGUAGGAAAAUUUGAAGAUGGUAGCUAAGAUCAUCACUUUCAUUGGAUUUAGAAGAGGUACAUUGGUGCAUAAUAUGAAGGCAAUCUUGCAUCAACUGAAAUCAAGGAGCAUAAAAUACAACAAAAAUGCACCAAAAAAAAAAAAUGCCAGCCAAACAGACUCACAAGUCCUGCCCCUAAUGUCCCAUGUACAAGAACUGUUGAUUCAAGCAUGCAUCAAAUGUAAAAGCACAUUCAACAUAAUUCAGAGAAGGAUUAUAAUAUUCUAUUGAUUAAACUAACUUGCUGUCCAGGUUUACAAUAAACCUUUGUAAGGUCCAGAUUCAAAAUCAUAUAAAGAACUUAGCCAUAGCUCAUGUUCACAGGAGAAUAUUGCAGUUAAGCUCUAACAGAAGGUCUUUUAAGAACUGCUAAUAUUAAUGCACAAGUACAAAAUUACAAGUAUAACCACCAAUUAAACUUGGCAUGGAAAACUAUAAGUGUGCAUAUAUGUAAGCCUAUACUGGACUCAAAAUAACAAUCUAAAAUGCUUCAGCAUAAAUUAUCAAUAUCAAUACAUUUUUAGUGACCGAUAUGAGCACUCAAACUGAUAGCACAGUAUAAGGAAAACCGAUAUUUAAAUACCCCUGCCAAAUAACGAUGUGAAAAUGAUUUUGGUUCCAAUGGGCGCGAAAGCAAUGUAUUGAGCUCCUGCAAUUUAAAUUAUAAAACAAUUAACACAUACAACCUAUUUAAGGAAAAUGAAAUGACCAACUUUUCAAUUCCAGAGAAGGAAGCUCAAAAUAAGAAUAAGAAUUAUCUAUAGCAGAUGAAACCUGCUGUAAUUUGUUCAAUUGCAUGGAGGUGAUUUUCUUUUGCUUAUAAUUGUUCACUCUUUCAUCCUCACUAUCAUCCUUCUCCACAAUUAACUCAACCAAUUCUGCAUUUCGUUCAAACCAGGUUUUCUUUGCCUUCUCCUAUAGAAGAGGAUACACACACAAGUUAAAGGAGGAGGGAGGCACACAUGAACUGGGACUUUCUACAGCUAAUGAUGUAAGAAAUUACUUAGCACGCAAGAACAAGGAAUUCCUUGGGACCAUAGCUAAUAAAAUAAGUUCAAUACAUUAAGUAAAUAACAGAACACCACCAGAAAAGUAAAAAAUUCAUACAAGAAAUUACUUAGCAUGCAAGAAUAAUGAAUUCCUUGGGGCCAUAGCUAAUAAAAUAAGUUAAAUUUUUACAUUAAGUAAACAAAACAUCACAAGAAAAGUAAAAUAUGCAAAAAAACCUGUGACUCUUUCCGCAUAAUCUUGUCUAUUUGGCGUGCAAGAGACAAUCGUUUUAUCACCUCAGGCAUGUAUGAUUCCUCUAAAGGAAAUCUCUGAAAACUUUCCUUUGCAAAAGAUUUGCAUAAAGAGGCAAAUUUUGAGGUAUCAUUAGGUGAGAUUAAAGCAAUGCUGCAUCCAUCAGUAAAAGCUCUAGCAGUUCUUCCACUUCUGUGAACAUAAACUUCUGCUGAAUGUGGGAGCUGAUAGUGAACAACAGUUCGAACACCAGGAAUAUCGAGGCCUCUGGCAGCAACAUCAGUAGCAAUAAGUAUACCAUGUUCAUUUGAGCGAAAACGAUCAAUUGCCUUCAAACGAGCUCGCUGCUGCAUCUGAGCAUGCAGUGUCCAAACAUGUACUCCUAGAAUGCGCAAGAGGGCAGAAAUAUGGCGCAAAGCUGCAAUUGAUGUACAGAAAACAAUUGUGCGACCUUGUCCAUGAACACUCAAUAGGUAGUAUAGGUAAGCAUCUUUAUCUUCUUCCCUGCAUCUGCAGAGUCAUUGCACCCUAAUGAGGAUAAGCGCCAAAUUCAAAUAAAAUAUAGGCAACAAAUAAUGGCCAGAAUCAACAAACUUUGGAGCAUUUGAUGUCUGGGAAAUAUCACAUGAUCUGAGGGCAAUAUGAUAUAUAACAUAUUGGUUAUUAUUGCAAUGGAUACCAUUUUAAGGCAGCAACAUCAAAGAUUCUAUAAUGGAGGUGUAACUAUACUGGAACUGGAAAAUAUGUUGUAAGUCAUGAAGCAUCAAAACACCUCCAAUAAGGGGUAUGCAAAUGUUGAAUACUUGUCAAACACGUUACUGUCAAACAAGUACCAAAAAUGCCACCUACAUAAAUCUAACACAAAUUUAGUAAGUCACUUUGCAUGGUCUUUUUUAUGAUAAAUAUGUUUUGUGCAUAUUGAUAAAAUAAAGAAAGUAUAACAUUAUCAUUAAAAAAAUUAAACAAUAAAAUUCAAAAUAGGAGAAUAGAAACCCUAUAAACGUUUAAGAAAAAGUUUUAGCAAGAUAGAUGAAUUUUCUUCAUGAGUAAGCAUCCACUAUUGCACAGGCAUGGCAAACAAUUAAGCAUUGUCAAAAUAUAGUAAUCAAACAUUAGCUUUAAAACAUCAUGCUACAAGAUGGUAAAUUGCUGAGGAGAUUCAGAUGACAUAUAUCAUAUGUAAUGUAGAAUAUAUACUCAAUAAAUGAUUCCUCAAGCUUAUGUGCCAGGAUUGAUGCAUUUGUCAGAUCAAUGAUGGCUGCAUCAGCUCUUAUUCCUGCACGUUCAGAGAGAGUUUCUAUAGAAUUCAAUCCUCCAGUUUUUUCUUCCUUUGAUUUUAGCAAACCACGCUUUAGCUUCUUGCGAAAAUCAGCAGAUAAUGCUAUCGUUGCAGAAAAAACAAAUGUUUGUCUUUUCUUUCUUUGCAAGGUUGACAGAGUCACACAACUUUGUGCAUUUUGAGAUUGGCCUUCAACUUCAACGGAGCCAUUGGCCGCAGGCAGCAUGUCAAUUAUUGACUGCAACUCACGGAAAUGUCCAUUUUCAAUCAUUCGAUCAGCUUCAUCCAGCACAAAGAAAGACAAUGAAUGCAACUCAACAAGAUGCUUUUCUCCUCCUGACAUAAGUUCCCAUAAUCGACCAGGAGUUCCAACAAUAACCUCAGGCCUUGCUUUUAAGAGUCUUUCCUGCUUCUCUGUUGACAUUCCCCCAACAAUAGGAACCACCCUAAUGCUAAUACCCUUAGCCACUUCCUUAAGAUGAUCAGUUACCUGAAGUGCAAGCUCCCUUGUAGGAGUGAUGAUAAGUGCCCGCAUGAGACAUUUUGGAGCAAACUUUUCAGCUUCAUCACCCAUUUCCUCAAACAUUUUUGUAGCCUUAUAUCUUUCCUCCAAAAGACGUUGGAAGAUGGGCAAACCAAAAGCAAGCGUCUUUCCAGAACCAGUCUCUGCAGCACCAACAACAUCCUUCCCUUGAUGAGCUGCAGCAGGAAUACAAGCUUUCUGUAUUGGUGUUGGCUCCUUGAACCCAAGCCUAUAUAUUGAUUUCAUGAGCAAAGGAUGAAGUCUCAGCUCAUUCCAUGCAUGAAAAUCAGUCUCAUCAACCAAUUCUCCAUCAACAUCAUCCUCAUCCUUUCCAUUUCUAACGGCGGCGGGUUCUUCAUUUUUCUGGGUUUCCUUUGCCUUAUUUUUCUUCUUCUUCUUCUUCUUCAGCUUUAUCGCAUACACCAUCAUCUGUUUCGAGGUCAUCAUUGAAUUCUUCCAGUUUUCUUCCUUCUACUCCCACAGAGUAUCACCAACGGACAAGGUUUUCUGGCAAUGGUUCAUCAUUUGAUUCAUAUGAAGAAGCACCCAUUGGAUCACCUACUUCAAAGUAUUUGUGUUUUGGAGCUGGUAGAGGAACUAGAGAUGGGCUUAAAGGAUGUUACGCUUGGUGGUGAAACGAUCUUAAUGAUUUUGAUUAUUGGUCUUGGAUCUGGCUGGCUUAGGUGAAAAAUCUGUACCUGUUUAUCUCCGCCUUUUUUUUAAUUGGAGUUUUCGGCAGCCUUCUUCUUCAGGUAGUUAGUGGCUUCAAUUACAAAAACAUCAACAAUGUAUCUCGUGAAUGUUGUUGUUUCUUGAAACAUUGCUCGAUCUUAUUCUGAUGUAUAUAAGUUCUGCAAUUCAGUCUUUACAAUUUCUUAAAAUUAUGCGUCGAAGACUCAUGAAAUUAAUUAAUUAGCAUGCGAU